UCGUAACAAGGUUUCCGUAGGUGAACCUGCGGAAGGAUCAUUAACGAGUAAACAGGGGAGUUGUAGCUGGCCGCAAGGCAUGUGCACGCUCCCUACUCAAUCCCACCUUACACCUGUGCAUCUAUUGUAGGUCGGGUGGCUUGGCUCCAUGUCAGGCUGUCCUUCCUAUGUCUACACAUACACUUUAUAGUUUCAGAAUGUAAACUGCGUAUAACGCAUCUAUAAACAACUUUCAACAACGGAUCUCUUGGCUCUCGCAUCGAUGAAGAACGCAGCGAAAUGCGAUAAGUAAUGUGAAUUGCAGAAUUCAGUGAAUCAUCGAAUCUUUGAACGCACCUUGCACUCCUUGGUAUUCCGAGGAGUAUGCCUGUUUGAGUGUCAUGAAUAUCUCAACUCACCCGGUUUUUGUAAAUUGUGGUGGGCUUGGACUUGGAGGUAUGCUGGCUUUACUAGUCGGCUCCUCUUUAAAUGUAUUAGCUGGACCCGUUACGGAUCAGUACUCGGUGUGAUAAUUGUCUACGCCGUGUCUGUGAAGUGCCUUAGUGGAUCAGCUGCUAAUCGUCUUCGGACAAUUUGACAUUUUGACCUCAAAUCAGGUAGGAUUACCCGCUGAACUUAAGCAUAUCAAUAA
RNAcentral lists this unclassified non-coding RNA (631 nucleotides) under Gloeophyllum trabeum. RNAcentral describes it as "sequence contains 18S rRNA gene, ITS1, 5.8S rRNA gene, ITS2, 28S rRNA gene". The stretch from base 228 to 381 matches the Rfam family "5.8S ribosomal RNA". Lineage: Eukaryota; Fungi; Basidiomycota; Agaricomycetes; Gloeophyllales; Gloeophyllaceae. The record is from RNAcentral.